RNAcentral lists this unclassified non-coding RNA (307 nucleotides) under Hevea brasiliensis (rubber tree). The record is from RNAcentral. Lineage: Eukaryota; Viridiplantae; Streptophyta; Magnoliopsida; Malpighiales; Euphorbiaceae.
ACGAAAUGGACAAAUGACAAACUGGAACAGCUCGAAAGUUUUAGCGGAGAUCUUGGACUUAAGGUACGCAGUCUCGAGAGUGUUGAUGGGCAGGAUGCGGCGCCAGGGGUGACGGGCAGUGUAGUCUCCGGUCUUCUGGAUGGACAUGGUGAUGAAGUCGGCAUGCUGGAUAUGGUCCUUCAACUGCUAAAGGGCCGCAACAAAGUUAGACUUUGUCACCUGUAGUACUGUGUCGCCUCGCAUGAUGUUCGUCAUGGUCAUUGCCACUGUCGCUCUGCCACCAUCAUAUCCUACUUCUCAAUCCAUG